GUGAUCAUUCGGGUCGUUAGAUGUUCUGGACAUUGAAUUUGUUGUUAGCGAUGCGUACUGUUAACGAAUGGAUUCAGUGAACCAUAUUAAAGUUUUCAUUAACAUCACCGAUCCACUCAUCCCACAACUUUUCAUUCAAUGCACCUCUUAUCUCAAUGUUUGUAGAUCUCGAUCUAUAAAUAAGCGAGUUUGGAGUUGUGAAGAUCAUCACUUUCUUCUUUGUCAUUGUAAUCUUCACAAAUUCGUCAUCCCGGAAUGGCUAUUUCUUCCCAUCAGGGUCAUCGGGAUAAUCACUGACUGUUACACUUCCUCUCAAUUCGUAAGCAACCACAUGCAAAUCCUUGGCAAACCCAUGAUCCAGAGAACUUGGGAGAGUUUGGUGUUAUCUUCUACUCUCGAUAACUUUGGUAAUGUUGCUCCUCUCUACUCUUUUUGGUUACAUACAUAAGAAAGUUGUGAACUUUAUGAAUCAAAGGCCUUUUUUUGUAAACUUAUUGGUAAUAGCUCAGAUAAGAAGAACACAUGGAUGAUGGUUCUGAACAAAAGUUUCAAUGGCCACCGCUUCUGUCAUUAUGACUGAGUGAACGUGUCCACCUUAUCUGUGACACUUUUCACACCUUAUCUGAAGAGAUUGUCUCUUCUCCUUAUAACCGCGUUUGAAUAUAUAUAUCUCGGAGAAGGAAGGAGGCCCAGAAAGAGCAGAAGCCUCCUUUUAUACGAUCUCCAGCACACACACUGGUGAGUGCCUCCAUGCAAAUUGUAGAUUUUCUCAUGGGAGCCAGUAAGAUGGAGUCGAUGUUGGAUGGUCAAACUUAUCAGAUAUGAACGUUCGUUCACGAGGGAAAGCUUCUUGGUUGCUCAUAUAUUCAAAACUGUGUAGGCGUAGACUUGUCGCGCCACUCAGUCAAAUUUUCAUCCAGAGAGAAUCUCGGGCUCAGGCAGAGAUCAACCAGUUCUGAAUGAUAACAGCUCAAAGUUUACUCUCAAAAAUGGUUCUUAGGAAGUGAAACAAAAGUCUCAUGGAAGAUUAUCAGUUUCGCAAAACCCAAAGGAGGCAAAGUCUACUGGAAGGUCAUCAGUAUCUCAAAGUUCAGAUCCUUUAUAAAGGAACCAAAGCCUCUUGGAAGUUUGUCAGUUAAUCAUAGCUCAGACGCAGUUAAAGAGUCAUUAACCUCGUCAUCCACAGGAAGUACAUCAGGCUCUCCUCGUAGGGUCACAUUAACAAGUUCUCCAAAAGUUGCUUCUGGUGUUUCUACGGUUGUCUCUACUGCUGCAGUUUCAAAGAGGGAUUUUGCAAAAGAUAACUUAAAAGGCAAAUCUUCCAGUAGUCAAUAAAGGGGAUUUUUUCCCAGUAAUUGUUCCCAGAUCGGACCCAGUGAUUGAGCAGAGACUGUUGAAUCCAGAGCAGAACUCGACAUUAUUGGAAGAACUAUGCCAUAUUCGUUGCAGUCCAAGGCGGCUGAUUCUAGAAGGCUGUCUAGCAUCAGAAAUGUGCCGGAUCUACCAACUGAUUCUCUUAUUGAAAGGUCUCAGUCUCAACCUAUAGAGCCAAGCAAUUCACAAGACGGAAAUACAUUUACAAGUGACGAAUGUGGCACAUGGGAUACAGCUGAGAGGAGAAAUAUAGACAACGGAUACAGAGGAUUUGGAAGGUUUAAUUCAAGAACUUUGCUGACAUCACCUCCAAGAAAUCAUGACGAAAACUGUUGGUGGCCGGUGGGAAUCGAGAAGUACGCAAGAAAGAUUGUUUUAGCUGGAGGGAACACUGAUGAUGGUGUUCUCGACGCGCCGCCCCGCGGGAUUCGAAGAUACUACUGUCGUGUGCCAGUGUUGUACGAAUCAUGGCUGUUAGUUUAUUUAUUGUUGUAGAAAUGUGAUUCAUGGGAUCGAAAGAGAACCACAAGAUCGUUCCAGAUGUAGAUUUGGUCCUUAUUACAUUUACUAGAGAUUUUACCCGGGCUACGCCCGGGGUUAUAUACAACUAACAUUUUUUCUAUUAUCUAAAAUAUGUAUGGGAUAGUGAACAAUGUGAAAUUAAUAAAAAAACUUUUUAAACC
Long non-coding RNA from Brassica napus (rape), 2057 nucleotides. RefSeq lists it as uncharacterized. The record is from RefSeq and is a predicted model, not a curated record. The transcript has 5 exons. NCBI's taxonomy places the organism in Eukaryota, Viridiplantae, Streptophyta, Magnoliopsida, Brassicales, Brassicaceae.